This 72-nucleotide transfer RNA is filed under the name Camelus ferus (Wild Bactrian camel). It matches the Rfam family "tRNA". Rfam says of the family: Transfer RNA (tRNA) molecules are approximately 80 nucleotides in length. Their secondary structure includes four short double-helical elements and three loops (D, anti-codon, and T loops). Lineage: Eukaryota; Metazoa; Chordata; Mammalia; Artiodactyla; Camelidae. The record is from Rfam by way of RNAcentral.
GAUGGGAUAGCUCAGUAGUAGAGUGCAUGCUUAGGAUGCAUGAGGUCCUGAGUUCAAGCCCCAGUACCUCCA